Molecule: ribosomal RNA, 429 nt
Filed under: Chloroflexota bacterium
Lineage: Bacteria; Bacillati; Chloroflexota
Description: Chloroflexi bacterium partial 16S ribosomal RNA
Rfam family: Bacterial small subunit ribosomal RNA
Source: RNAcentral
UGGGGAAUAUUGCACAAUGGGCGCAAGCCUGAUGCAGCCAUGCCGCGUGUGUGAAGAAGGCCUUCGGGUUGUAAAGCACUUUCAGCGGGGAGGAAGGCGUUAAGGUUAAUAACCUUGGCGAUUGACGUUACCCGCAGAAGAAGCACCGGCUAACUCCGUGCCAGCAGCCGCGGUAAUACGGAGGGUGCAAGCGUUAAUCGGAAUUACUGGGCGUAAAGCGCACGCAGGCGGUUUGUUAAGUCAGAUGUGAAAUCCCCGGGCUCAACCUGGGAACUGCAUCUGAUACUGGCAAGCUUGAGGCUCGUAGAGGGGGGUAGAAUUCCAGGUGUAGCGGUGAAAUGCGUAGAGAUCUGGCGGAAUACCGGUGGCGAAGGCGGCCCCCUGGACGAAGACUGACGCUCAGGUGCGAAAGCGUGGGGAGCAAACAGG